RNAcentral lists this ribosomal RNA (253 nucleotides) under uncultured Longilinea sp. Its description in RNAcentral is "partial 16S ribosomal RNA". It matches the Rfam family "Bacterial small subunit ribosomal RNA", at positions 524 to 776 of the family's 1533-position model. The record is from RNAcentral. Lineage: Bacteria; Bacillati; Chloroflexota; Anaerolineae; Anaerolineales; Anaerolineaceae.
AACGUAGGAGGCGAGCGUUAUCCGGAUUUACUGGGUGUAAAGCGCGUGCAGGCGGUUUACUAAGUUGGAUGUGAAAGCUCCUGGCUCAACUGGGAGAGGUCGUUCAAAACUGGUAGACUCGAGAGCAGUAGGGGAAGGUGGAAUUCCGGGUGUAGUGGUGAAAUGCGUAGAUAUCCGGAGGAACACCAGUGGCGAAGGCGGCCUUCUGGACUGCAUCUGACGCUCAGACGCGAAAGCUAGGGUAGCAAACGGG